Paramuricea clavata is the source of this 533-nucleotide non-coding RNA. The record is from the annotation of a GenBank genome assembly. NCBI's taxonomy places the organism in Eukaryota, Metazoa, Cnidaria, Anthozoa, Malacalcyonacea, Plexauridae.
CUGACAGCUAUAUUACAGUUGUGAGACACACAUUUUCUAACAAUCGAUGAAGCCAUAAUUAUUCAAAAAUCUGCAUUUUAUACCAACUACCAAGUCUACAUAGUUCAGUCUACAUUAUUUUCUGCAUUUUAUACUUGUCCAGUUGUUUGCAGAUUACACUGAUCGCGAUAUGAACUAUCGAUACAUUUUUAAUAAUUACUUUCGGUAUCGGUUAAAUUUUGAAGUCGUAACUGGAUGUGAGCGAGAAUAAAACAUUUGUAUUCGUAUCAUGCUAUAUUACAGUACCGGGUUGUUGAGGCUCAUCUUCUGAUCUUGGUUCAUGAGAGUCAACAUUCUCUGAAUGAUCUUCUGCAUGCGCACUUGAACUGACACUGUCACUUUCCUCAUUAUCCCCUUCCAACAAUGGUGCAUUCGCUUGUACGUUGUGCAUUCUAAUGUUUUAAUCAAGUAAACCAACAAGGAACAUCCACCAACUGAUUCGAAUAAAAAAAUUACUGCAUAAAAAAUUAACAAAUCUAUACCGUGUGGCAAUC